Molecule: transfer RNA, 95 nt
Filed under: Bradyrhizobium sp. 6(2017)
Lineage: Bacteria; Pseudomonadati; Pseudomonadota; Alphaproteobacteria; Hyphomicrobiales; Nitrobacteraceae
Description: tRNA-Lys
Source: RNAcentral
GGCCCGGAGGUGCGACUGGCAAGUCAUUGAUUCUCAUCAAGCCGCGGCUGACUCUUAAUCAGCGGGCCCAGGUUCGAGCCCUGGUGCGGCCACCA